UAGGGAAUCUUGCGCAAUGGGCGAAAGCCUGACGCAGCAACGCCGCGUGGGGGAUGAAUGCCUUCGGGUUGUAAACUCCUUUCAGUGGGAACGAAAUUGACGGUACCCACAGAAGAAGCCCCGGCCAACUACGUGCCAGCAGCCGCGGUGAUACGUAGGGGGCGAGCGUUGUCCGGAUUUAUUGGGCGUAAAGAGCUCGUAGGCGGCUUGGCAAGUCGGGUGUGAAACCCCCAGGCUCAACCUGGGGACGCCACUCGAAACUGCCAUGGCUAGAGUCCGGUAGGGGAUCACGGAAUUCCUGGUGUAGCGGUGAAAUGCGCAGAUAUCAGGAGGAACACCAGUGGCGAAGGCGGUGAUCUGGGCCGGUACUGACGCUGAGGAGCGAAAGCGUGGGGAGCGAACAGGAUUAGAUACCCUGGUAGUCCACGCCGUAAACGUUGGGCACUAGGUGUGGGACCCUAUCGACGGGUUCCGUGCCGCAGCUAACGCAUUAAGUGCCCCGCCUGGGGAGUACGGCCGCAAGGCUA
Molecule: ribosomal RNA, 527 nt
Filed under: uncultured bacterium
Lineage: Bacteria
Description: bacterial SSU rRNA
Rfam family: Bacterial small subunit ribosomal RNA
Source: RNAcentral